Molecule: ribosomal RNA, 325 nt
Filed under: uncultured Streptococcus sp.
Lineage: Bacteria; Bacillati; Bacillota; Bacilli; Lactobacillales; Streptococcaceae
Description: bacterial SSU rRNA
Rfam family: Bacterial small subunit ribosomal RNA
Source: RNAcentral
UCAGCUCGUGUCGUGAGAUGUUGGGUUAAGUCCGCAACGAGCGCAACCCCUAUUGUUAGUUGCCAUCAUUCAGUUGGGCACUCUAGCGAGACUGCCGGUAAUAAACCGGAGGAAGGUGGGGAUGACGUCAAAUCAUCAUGCCCCUUAUGACCUGGGCUACACACGUGCUACAAUGGUUGGUACAACGAGUUGCGAGUCGGUGACGGCGAGCUAAUCUCUUAAAGCCAAUCUCAGUUCGGAUUGUAGGCUGCAACCCGCCUACAUGAAGUCGGAAUCGCUAGUAAUCGCGGAUCAGCACGCCGCGGUGAAUACGUUCCCGGGCCUU